CUGGUCUUGACAUCCCGAUGACGAGUGAGCAAAAUCACUUUCCCUUCGGGGCAUUGGAGACAGGUGGUGCAUGGUUGUCGUCAGCUCGUGUCGUGAGAUGUUGGGUUAAGUCCCGCAACGAGCGCAACCCCUAUUUUCAGUAGCCAGCAGGUAAAGCUGGGCACUCUGGAGAGACUGCCUGGGAUAACCAGGAGGAAGGCGGGGAUGACGUCAAAUCAUCAUGCCCCUUAUGAUCAGGGCUACACACGUGCUACAAUGGCGUAAACAAAGGGAAGCAAAGCGGUGACGUGGAGCAAAUCCCAGAAAUAACGUCUCAGUCCGGAUUGUAGUCUGCAACUCGACUACAUGAAGCUGGAAUCGCUAGUAAUCGCGAAUCAGAAUGUCGCGGUGAAUACGUUCCC
RNAcentral lists this ribosomal RNA (401 nucleotides) under uncultured bacterium. RNAcentral describes it as "bacterial SSU rRNA". It matches the Rfam family "Bacterial small subunit ribosomal RNA", at positions 975 to 1375 of the family's 1533-position model. The record is from RNAcentral.